UUUCAGAAACACCUUUUGGCUUCUUGGGCUCAAGCAAUCCUAUCUUUAAUAUCUUUGCCUUCUCAGCUGCUCUGUCUUCUGCUGGUCCCUUGUAUUUGCCCAUUUCUCUCUCGCUGACUAAGCCCUGCUGAGAAAACCCAUAUACUUUCUCUUUCAGUGUGUGAACAUGGAUGACCUUUGCUCCUAGCUCCUGACACCAAUUCCAUUGUCUCUUCUGUGCGACUGACACUCUACUGUUGCUAUGACAUUGGGCAAGGCCACUUUUUCUGUGUGUAGUGCCUUUCCCUGGACUGAUCUGUGUGCAUCUGCACCUUUCUUCCAGUAUGCCUCUCCUCUGCCAUGCUACUAAGAGCCUAGUUUAUUCUGCAGUGCAGGAUCAGAUUAAGUAUUCCCUGGAUUCAGCAUCUGGGUGGCUGAUUAACCAGUCUGUGCAUGCAGAGAUAAAUUAAACUGCGUAGGACAAUGAUUAAAUUCUGUUACUCUUACAAGUGAACUGUGCAUUCCUGAGAUGUAUUAUAUGUAGGAGGGGAGGAGUUGCUGAGUUUACACUGGUUUAUGAGUGUGCAUGGACAGAAGGAUGUGGGAACUGACCCAUGGGGAGAAAAUCAGAGAGGCUGCAACAUGAACCCAACCCUUUCAAGACACUGGUGAAUCUCUGCAGGAGAUGUGACUUGACUGGAGACUCAGGUGAUAACAAGUCUUUUCCUUUUUUUCUGCAAAAUAUUCUGCCCUGCCAUCUAUAA
Molecule: long non-coding RNA, 743 nt
Filed under: Anas platyrhynchos platyrhynchos (common mallard)
Lineage: Eukaryota; Metazoa; Chordata; Aves; Anseriformes; Anatidae
Description: lncRNA (ENSAPLG00000026063.1)
Source: RNAcentral